UUAAAUUAAUGAAGUGGAUGUAAUAGCCAAUUUUGGCCUAAAGCUCAAAUCAAUAAAACAAAUAAUAAAACAGUCCAAAAUGAAUGUCCAUUUACAUAUUAUACCCAAGCCCAACAAGCCCGAAAGUCUAGAAACCCCAAAGCCCAACUAGCCCAACUACACAAAACAUUUCAGCAAACCUUAACCCCUCCAAGCUUCAGCCGCCGCAUGCCCCCUUCAACCUUGGCCGCCGCACGCCUCCUCGCACACGUCUGGCCGCUCACGUCACCUGCAAAACGAGACUAACAUACAAGCAAAAGAAAACAACGAACAAGAAGACAAAAAACAAUAGCAAACAACAAAGAAAAACAAUGAAGAAACAGACAAAGAAUAGAAACAAAACGAGUGUGUAUUCGGCUAUAAAGGCCAUAUUCGAUCCCUUUGUAAUUUUUUACGUACAUUAAAGAAUCAAAAAAGCAGAAUAGAAGCUUAAAGAAAGGUUGAUUUUGAUUUUCUUUUCUUUUUUUUGUGUUUUCUUGUUUCUUCUUUUUAUUAUUAUUAUUAUUACAAAUCUAUUUUCAAGUAAAAAGAAUAAAUAAAAAAGGAGAAGAGAAAAUUUACCCGAAUCCGAUCUUGGCAUGGCUCCGACCACCGUCUACGGUGGAGCCUCGGAGCCAAGGCGGUUCGGCGAUGGUGCGAUGAUGGGUUUCAAAACCCUAGCAGAGGAGAAAAAAGAAAAAGGAGGUUCAGAUUUUUUUUUAAAAAGGGAC
This 749-nucleotide long non-coding RNA is filed under the name Gossypium barbadense (sea-island cotton). RNAcentral's name for it is "long non-coding RNA (GBAR_LNC000193)". The record is from RNAcentral. Lineage: Eukaryota; Viridiplantae; Streptophyta; Magnoliopsida; Malvales; Malvaceae.